GACGAACGCUGGCGGCGUGCUUAACACAUGCAAGUGGAGCGACGAACCAGGCUUCGGCCUGGGGCAAAGCCGCGAACGGGUGAGUAACACGUGGGUAACCUGCCCCGAUGACCGGGACAACCCGAGGAAACUCGGGCUAAUACCGGAUGUGCUGCCCUCACGCGAGUGAGGGUUGCAAAGGAAGCUUCGGCCUCCGCAUUGGGAUGGGCCCGCGGCCCAUUAGCUUGUUGGUGAGGUAACGGCNCACCAAGGCUGCGAUGGGUAGCUGGUCUGAGAGGACGAUCAGCCACACUGGGACUGAGACACGGCCCAGACUCCUACGGGAGGCAGCAGUGGGGAAUCUUGCGCAAUGCGCGAAAGCGUGACGCAGCAACGCCGCGUGGGGGAAGAAGGCC
Molecule: ribosomal RNA, 395 nt
Filed under: uncultured bacterium
Lineage: Bacteria
Description: bacterial SSU rRNA
Rfam family: Bacterial small subunit ribosomal RNA
Source: RNAcentral